RNAcentral lists this ribosomal RNA (527 nucleotides) under uncultured bacterium. RNAcentral's name for it is "bacterial SSU rRNA". It matches the Rfam family "Bacterial small subunit ribosomal RNA", at positions 8 to 524 of the family's 1533-position model. The record is from RNAcentral.
AGAGUUUGAUCAUGGCUCAGAUUGAACGCUGGCGGCAUGCCUUACACAUGCAAGUCGAACGGCAGCAUGAUCUAGCUUGCUAGAUUGAUGGCGAGUGGCGAACGGGUGAGUAAUACAUCGGAACGUGCCCUGUAGUGGGGGAUAACUAGUCGAAAGAUUAGCUAAUACCGCAUACGACCUGAGGGUGAAAGUGGGGGACCGCAAGGCCUCAUGCUAUAGGAGCGGCCGAUGUCUGAUUAGCUAGUUGGUGAGGUAAAGGCUCACCAAGGCGACGAUCAGUAGCUGGUCUGAGAGGACGAUCAGCCACACUGGGACUGAGACACGGCCCAGACUCCUACGGGAGGCAGCAGUGGGGAAUUUUGGACAAUGGGCGAAAGCCUGAUCCAGCAAUGCCGCGUGUGUGAAGAAGGCCUUCGGGUUGUAAAGCACUUUUGUCCGGAAAGAAAUGGCUCUGGUUAAUACCUGGGGUCGAUGACGGUACCGGAAGAAUAAGGACCGGCUAGCUACGUGCCAGCAGCCGCGGUAAU